This is a long non-coding RNA of Gossypium raimondii (Peruvian cotton), 2469 nucleotides long. RefSeq lists it as uncharacterized. The record is from RefSeq and is a predicted model, not a curated record. The transcript has 2 exons. NCBI's taxonomy places the organism in Eukaryota, Viridiplantae, Streptophyta, Magnoliopsida, Malvales, Malvaceae.
CAGAUGCUAGUGGGAAAGGAGUGGGCGCUGUUCUUCAACAAAAGGGAAAGCCAAUAGCCUUCUUUAGUAAGGCUUUGGGAGUAAAAUACCAAGCUUUAUCCAUAUAUGAUAAUGAGAUGAUGGCAGUGUUACUAGCAGUAAAAAAAUGGCAUUCUUACAUUGUGGGUCGACCUUUUGUCAUAAAAACGGAUCAUCAGGGUUUGAAAUUUCUUUCGGAACAACAAGCUAUUACACCCUAUCAACAAAAGUGGGUGGCUAAGAUGCUUGGUUAUGAUUAUUCAAUCAUGUAUCGAAAAGGGGCGCAAAACGCAAUAGCAGAUACAUUAUCUAGGAAACCCUCAGAAACGGAGCAUCAGUUGUUGCAAUGUGAAGGCACUAUGGAGUCAGAUUGGUCUACAAUUUGGGACAAGAUUGUUGGUUUGUAUGAGAGUGAUCCAAAACUUGCGCGACUUUGUGAGCAAAUGCGUGUGCAGCCACUGUUGCAUUCCAAAUACUCAUGGCAUGACACCUUUUUGCGUAGGAAAAACAAAGUCGUGGUUGGCAAGGAUGCCACAUUGCGAAAGUAGAUUUUUGACAUCUUCCACAACACACCUUUGGGAGGUCACUCUGGAGUCCAUGCAACUCGCCAAAGAAUAUCAACUAUAUUGUAUUGGAAGGGGCUUUCCAAAGAUGUACAUGCUUGGGUUCACGAGUGUGUGACGUGUCAAAGAUGUAAGUCGGACAAUGCAGCAUCGCCUGGUCUGUUGCAGCCGUUGCCUAUUCCAGAACGGGUUUGGUCUGACAUUAGCAUGGAUUUCAUCGAGGGACUGCCAUUGUCUUAAGGGAAAUCAACCAUCUUGGUAGUGGUUGAUCGUUUGACCAAGUACGGACAUUUUUUGGCACUUGAUUAUCCCUUCUCGGCUCUUACAGUGGCACAAGAGUAUUUCACCCAUAUUUACAAGCUUCAUGGGAUUCCAGAGAGCAUUGUCUCCGAUAGGGACAAAAUUUUCCUGAGUCAGUUUUGGCAGGAGUUGUUCAAACACAUGGGAACCAAGUUGAAGAAAUCUACAGCUUAUCAUCCCCAGACAGAUGGGCAGACCGAGGUGUUAAAUAGAUGUUUGGAGGGAUACUUGCGAUGCAUGGUUGGGGAGAAACCUUCAGCAUGGUUAUCAUGGUUACCAUGGUGAGUGGUGGUAUAACACAACACACCAUUCAGCAAUUCACACAACGCCUUAUGAGGCUCUUUAUGGACAACCCCCACCUAUACAUCUAACUUAUGUGGUCGGUGUAUCCCCAGUAGCUUCAGUCGAUCGAACCUUACAGCAUAGAGAGAUUAUACGGAAGGUUCUUAAGUUUCACUUGUCCUGAGCUCAAGACAGAAUGAAACAAAUGGCUGACAGAAAAAGAACAGAAAGGGAGUUUCAGGUGGGUGACUUAGUUUAUUUGAAGCUUCAGCCAUAUCGUCAACACUCUCUGCGCAAAUUCAGAAACCAAAAAUUGUCACCUCGAUACUUUGGUCCUUUUCCUGUGGAAGCUCGAGUAGGAUAGGUGGCUUAUAAUUUGACAUUGCCCGUUUUAGCUCGAAUUUAUCACACUUUCCAUGUUUCCCAGCUAAAGAAGCAUAUCGGUUCAGCAGUGAGUGCUCCCACGCUACCACCGGUUACCUCGGAUGGUGCUCUCCUUAAGUCUCCAGUGUGAGUGUUGGAUAGGAGGAUGGUCCGACAAGGCAAUCAUGCUACAGUGGAAGUAUUGGUUGAAUGGACAGACACUUUUCCUGAGGAUGCUUCCUGGGGGAAGUUAUCUGAGUUACAACGCAGGUUCCCUACCUUUAAUCCUUGAGGACAAUGAUUUCUUUUAAAGGGGGAAAUUGUUAUGGUUCUUAUUAUGGUUCUAUUAUUGUUAUGUGGGUUAUAAUAAUUAGUUAAAGUGCUGCGUUUUUGUUAAAUACGUUUAGUAAUACGGUGAGUUUGGAUUGAACAAAACGGGUGCGUUUAGUAGAAUUAGGUAAUGGGUUGACUAUAUUACGUGUAACAGAAAAGAGGUUGGGCAUGAAAUUGAAUAUUGAAUUUUCAGCUUCUCUGCUCUUUAGCUCUUUCUCUCUAGAUUCUUUUCUUCUUCUUAGAUUCUAUUUCUUCUCGAGAACAUUCUUCAACAAGGUGGCGCCGAUUCGACGACUCCGACGAAAGAGGCGUUCGUGGAGCGCGCGUGGAGGAUCGGCCCCGAGACGUGCGGCGGCUGGAGGCUUUGCUGGAGGCGGGGAGGCUGCUAGGCAAACAUGCGGCUAGGGUUUUGUUUUUUGGUUUUUAGUUUUGCUGUGUUGGGCUAUUUUAAUUGGGCUUGUAUUUUAAAGAUUUGGGCUGUGCUUUUGUUUUGUGCGGGCCUGUUUAUUAUUAUAUUUGUUUUGGUUUAUUAUGUGGGCCCAGGCAAAUAAUUGGUAUUACAAUUAUUAUUGGUUUAGCAGUUGAAUCGAUCAAACAUAUUGAAUUGGAA